This 345-nucleotide unclassified non-coding RNA is filed under the name soil metagenome. Its description in RNAcentral is "partial contains 5.8S ribosomal RNA, internal transcribed spacer 2, and large subunit ribosomal RNA". The stretch from base 1 to 119 matches the Rfam family "5.8S ribosomal RNA", at positions 35 to 154 of the family's 154-position model. The record is from RNAcentral.
GAUGAAGAACGCAGCGAAAUGCGAUACGUAAUGUGAAUUGCAAAUUCAGUGAAUCAUCGAGUCUUUGAACGCACAUUGCGCCCCCUGGUAUUCCGGGGGGCAUGCCUGUCCGAGCGUCAUUGCUGCCCUCAAGCACGGCUUGUGUGUUGGGCCCCGUCCUCCGAUCCCGGGGGACGGGCCCGAAAGGCAGCGGCGGCACCGCGUCCGGUCCUCGAGCGUAUGGGGCUUUGUCACCCGCUCUGUAGGCCCGGCCGGCGCUUGCCGAUCAACCCAAAUUUUUAUCCAGGUUGACCUCGGAUCAGGUAGGGAUACCCGCUGAACUUAAGCAUAUCAAUAAGCGGAUGA